RNAcentral lists this ribosomal RNA (177 nucleotides) under uncultured bacterium. RNAcentral describes it as "partial 16S ribosomal RNA". It matches the Rfam family "Bacterial small subunit ribosomal RNA", at positions 338 to 526 of the family's 1533-position model. The record is from RNAcentral.
CCUACGGGAGGCAGCAGUGGGGAAUAUUGCACAAUGGGCGGAAGCCUGAUGCAGCAACGCCGCGUGCGAGAUGACGGCCUUCGGGUUGUAAACCGCUUUCGCCUGUGACGAAGCAUGAGUGACGGUAAUGGGUAAAGAAGCACCGGCUAACUACGUGCCAGCAGCCGCGGUAAUAAU